UAGUCCACGCCGUAAACGAUGGACACUAGUUGUUGGGUUUCGGCUCAGUGACUAAGCGAAAGUGAUAAGUGUCCCACCUGGGGAGUACGAUCGCAAGAUUGAAACUCAAAGGAAUUGACGGGGGCCCGCACAAGCGGUGGAGCAUGUGGUUUAAUUCGAUGAUACGCGAGGAACCUUACCAGGGCUUAAAUGUAGUGGGACAGCUUUAGAGAUAGAGUUUUCUUCGGACUCAUUACAAGGUGCUGCAUGGUUGUCGUCAGCUCGUGCCGUGAGGUGUCAGGUUAAGUCCUAUAACGAGCGCAACCCUUGUCGUUAGUUGCCAGCAUUUCAAGAUGGGGACUCUAACGAGACUGCCGGUGCAAACCGCGAGGAAGGUGGGGAUGACGUCAAAUCAUCACGGCCCUUACGUCCUGGGCCACACACGUGCUACAAUGGUAUGGACAAUGAGCCGCCAUCUGGCAACAGAGAGCCAAUCUAUAAACCAUAUCACAGUUCGGAUCGG
RNAcentral lists this ribosomal RNA (502 nucleotides) under uncultured bacterium. RNAcentral's name for it is "bacterial SSU rRNA". It matches the Rfam family "Bacterial small subunit ribosomal RNA", at positions 791 to 1301 of the family's 1533-position model. The record is from RNAcentral.